Molecule: long non-coding RNA, 529 nt
Organism: Halichondria panicea
Lineage: Eukaryota; Metazoa; Porifera; Demospongiae; Suberitida; Halichondriidae
Exons: 2
Source: RefSeq, a predicted model, not a curated record
CAAUUACUAGUGGGUCAUCAUGCUCAUAGCCACCAUGACAUUUGUAUAAUAACCUUCGUACAUGGAGUCAUUAUUAUUAACAACGUUCAUCUUUUCUCAAGUCGCUUUGAAGGACUACCCUCGCUUGUUGACAGUCUUCUUGGCAUCACAACCUAUGUAUAUAGAAAAUAAUCAAUUUCGUCAACUUUCUACAAUGCACAAUGGCGUAGUCUCAAGUCUCAAUGCCGUCUAUUUAUAUGCAAGAAAGCAAGGAAAACUCUUUGGAAGAGUUCACUGGAGUAAUGCUCACUGUAGCUAACCUGGAGCUGAAUAGACAUAGCCUUUUACUGUACCUACAGACCUACCUGAGCAUUAUUUAUUUGUCAGCCAUAAUCAUAAAUUUUAUUUUUGUCUUUUUGAUUCUGGUAAAGAAGAAAACCCACCAGGAAUGUAUUCCCCUCCCUUCUGUGUAUUUUUUUUAGUGUUCACUGUGUGUAUGAAUGGGUUCUGAGCGCUUUUGCGCAAGAGAAAAAAACAGCUCGUUACUAAG